UUCCCAUAUCUCCUCUCUCCAUAUCCCCACUGACACGCCAUUAUAGACAGAAUCAUUCUUCAAGCCAUCAACCAAAAUCCUCAUCGACACGGCAUCAACCGAUCUCUCUUCAGAUAUCCAUCUCCUCUCUCUCACGGAUCUGCCCAGACAUUUGGUCCAUUCGCUUGUGGCUUCUGCCUAGACAUAGUUGGUUUUGGUCCGGUUUGGGACUGGUGGAAGUAGGAGGUACCAACGGCGAGGACAGGUUCCCAGUGAAAACGGUUUAGGUACAUCUAGGGAAUGGGAACGGGAAUUUGGAGCUUGACUUGAAGCUGGGUGCGCGUGUAAAUGUCUACAACAAGUGAUUUGUCAAGUGGUCCCCCGUUAUGUCGCUGUGGAAUUCCUGUACGUCUAAGGAACUCUAGGACCGAGACCAAUCCUGGUAGAAAGUGGUAUGAAUGUAUUAACUACAAGAAACCCGGUGAUUGUAAUUUUUUUGAGUGGGCUGAUAAGGAAAUUACUGGUUGCGAGAAGAGAUUAAUGGAAUAUUUGCAACAAAUGAAGGAUAGAAUGCAUGCUGAUAACGUAAGAGUUGAGGAACUCAAUGAACGAAAGUGCCGUGAACAUUGUGAUAAACUACAGAGGGAGUUAGUGUCCAGUCAAAAUAAUGGCAAUAUGUUAAGGGGUGCGUUGUUAGUUGUAAUUUUGGUUUUAGUCUUUUAUUUUUGUGGUUUUAGUAGACCUAGAAGUACCAAGUUGAUGUUAAAAUGAUAAUUAUUGAAGAAGUUUGG
Molecule: long non-coding RNA, 770 nt
Organism: Alnus glutinosa
Lineage: Eukaryota; Viridiplantae; Streptophyta; Magnoliopsida; Fagales; Betulaceae
Exons: 3
Source: RefSeq, a predicted model, not a curated record